Transfer RNA from Marinobacterium sp., 73 nucleotides. It matches the Rfam family "tRNA". From Rfam's summary of the family: Transfer RNA (tRNA) molecules are approximately 80 nucleotides in length. Their secondary structure includes four short double-helical elements and three loops (D, anti-codon, and T loops). The record is from Rfam. NCBI's taxonomy places the organism in Bacteria, Pseudomonadati, Pseudomonadota, Gammaproteobacteria, Oceanospirillales, Oceanospirillaceae.
GGGCGAAUAGCUCAGUUGGGAGAGCGUCUGCCUUACAAGCAGAGGGUCGGGGGUUCGAACCCCUCUUCGCCCA